GGGCCCGCACAAGUGGUGGAGCAUGUGGUUUAAUUCGAUGCAACGCGAAGAACCUUACCAAUCCUUGAAAUCUAGCGAAGUUCGCAGAGAUGUGAAUGUGCCUUCGGGAACGCUAUGACAGGUGUUGCAUGGCUGUCGUCAGCUCGUGUCGUGAGAUGUAUGGUUAAGUCCAGUAACGAGCGCAACCCCUAUCCUUAUUUGCCAGCGCGUAAUGGCGGGAACUAUAGGGAGACUGCCGGGUGAAACCCGGAGGAAGGCGGGGACGAGGUCAAGUCAUCAUGGCCCUUAUGGAUUGGGCUACACACGUGCUACAAUGGGAAGUACAGAGGGACGCUAAAGCGCGAGCUGGAGCCAA
Molecule: ribosomal RNA, 355 nt
Filed under: uncultured bacterium
Lineage: Bacteria
Description: bacterial SSU rRNA
Rfam family: Bacterial small subunit ribosomal RNA
Source: RNAcentral